Molecule: small nucleolar RNA, 140 nt
Organism: Amphilophus citrinellus (Midas cichlid)
Lineage: Eukaryota; Metazoa; Chordata; Actinopteri; Cichliformes; Cichlidae
Source: Ensembl
UAAAAGGCUCCUAUCGAAGCCAUUCAUGCUCCCGUGUAGCAGUGAGUGGUCAAAAGGAAGCCGAGAUCAAGACUUUCACCGACGGUCGCUGUUCAGUUUUGAAAAUAACUGCUCCAGCAACAUUUAGGGGAAGGACAUUU